Molecule: ribosomal RNA, 822 nt
Filed under: Bacillus sp. UST050418-331
Lineage: Bacteria; Bacillati; Bacillota; Bacilli; Caryophanales; Bacillaceae
Description: bacterial SSU rRNA
Rfam family: Bacterial small subunit ribosomal RNA
Source: RNAcentral
ACGGGGGUGCUAAUACAUGCAGUCGAUGCGAACAGAAGGGAGCUUGCUCCCGGAUGUUAUGCGGCGGACGGGUGAGUAACACGUGGUGUAACCUGCCUGUAAGACUUGGGAUAACUCCGGGAAAACCGGCAGUCUGAAUUACCCGGAAUAGUUCCUAUGGAUACCGACAUGNGCUUCANGGAUGAAAGACAGGUUAUCAGUGCUUGUCACUUACUAAGAUGGACCCGCCGCGUGCAUUAGUCUAGUUGGUGNGGGUAAUGGCUCACCAAGGCGACGAUGCGUAGCCGACCUGAGAGGGUGAUCGGCCACACUGGGACUGAGACACGGCCCAGACUCCUACGGGAGGCAGCAGUAGGGAAUCUUCCGCAAUGGACGAAAGUCUGACGGAGCAACGCCGCGUGAGUGAUGAAGGUUUUCGGAUCGUAAAGCUCUGUUGUUAGGGAAGAACAAGUGCGAGAGUAACUGCUCGCACCUUGACGGUACCUAACCAGAAAGCCACGGCUAACUACGUGCCAGCAGCCGCGGUAAUACGUAGGUGGCAAGCGUUGUCCGGAAUUAUUGGGCGUAAAGGGCUCGCAGGCGGUUUCUUAAAGUCUUGAUGUGAAAGCCCCCGGCUCAAACCCGGGGAGGGUCAUUGGAAACUGGGGAAACUUUGAGUGCAGAAAGACGGAGAGGUGGAAUGUCCCCCGUGUAAGCGGGUGAAAAUGCGUAACAGAUGUGGAGGAACACCAGUGGACGAAAGCGACUCUCUGGUCUGUAAUGACGCUGAGGANCGAAACGUGGGGACGAACAGAUUAAUACCUCGGUNUCCANCCGUAAAAC